Molecule: signal recognition particle RNA, 96 nt
Filed under: Alphaproteobacteria bacterium
Lineage: Bacteria; Pseudomonadati; Pseudomonadota; Alphaproteobacteria
Also listed under: 2 other names
Description: signal recognition particle sRNA small type
Rfam family: Bacterial small signal recognition particle RNA
About the family: The signal recognition particle (SRP) is a universally conserved ribonucleoprotein involved in the co-translational targeting of proteins to membranes.
Source: RNAcentral
CUCGAGAGAUUGACGGACGGUUUACCCGCCAAUUCGGUCAGGCCCGGAAGGGAGCAGCCGUAACGGGACUAUCGGGUCGCUCAAUCUCUCACUUUU